Molecule: unclassified non-coding RNA, 2066 nt
Filed under: Haliotis rufescens (red abalone)
Lineage: Eukaryota; Metazoa; Mollusca; Gastropoda; Lepetellida; Haliotidae
Description: fYVE, RhoGEF and PH domain-containing protein 1-like, transcript variant X1
Source: RNAcentral
UGAAUUUCGAUAAUCAGCUUAUAUCGUCAGCUUGUGUUGAAAAACACUCGUUGUAAUAAAGCGUUAUCUGACGGCGACUCGUUUAGUGAUCUAUGUGUAUACAACUAGUCAACACACAAAGCGGAAACAAAUUUGAACAACAUACACGAAACGGAUCUUCCCGAAAUCAACCAUAGAGCAACCAAUAUUCGGCUAUCACAUUAUGACACCAAUUUCCCCUGCUAUAAUGCAUGCACACGGUGUCAUGUGUAAAGCAACAUAACUACCUUUGUACAACUCUCAGUGGCCUGGAUACAUUCGCCGAGACCGGUUGUCGAUCAUCACAACUCACUGUUCAACACAUUCUAAAAAGGUUAUAAAAGGUCCAUACAUUUCCGCCAAGGGAACCUCUCUCCGACGCACAUUCCACGACAACCAGCGCGAAGUUGUUCUGGAUUGUCAAGUCCGCGACACAAGCUGAUAGUUUUACGAGACGUGGGACAAGAGAACGGUCGUUUGGUGAAGAACCACUUCCUGUUAGCAUUCAUUGUCUUAGAUCCACGCGGCAGUCAAAAAGAACAAAACCCAUCCAGCAUGUCUGAGGACAUUCCUCCUGACAAUGAGGAAAAUGUGGGUUAUGUGAAUGCUGAUAUACUGAUGUCCCUAAAGCCAGGGGACACAUUCCAAGUAAGACGGGGGAGUGUGGACGCUGUCAUCACCGAGGAAACAGCUGGCAGCAGCAGCCACACCACGCAUGAGGAGGUCACCGAAAUACGGAUAAGAAGACAGCGAGUCAUCAAACGGCGCACAACUGCACAGGCGGCACUCCAGGACGAUAUGGCUUAUCUGACAGUGACAGAAAUUGUCGACACUGAGAGAACCUAUGUCUCAAGAUUAGACAUACUCAAUCAGGUGAACACAAAGAACAAAAGCGUUAAAGCUGUCAGUGAUGAUAUCAUAAAGAAAAUAUUUCCGAGUUUGGCAUCGAUUUGGGAAUUCCAUAAGGAUUACUUACUGCCGCAAUUGGAAGAGAGACUCUCUAAGUGGAAACACGAGCCAAAGAUAGGCGACAUCUUCCGCCAGUGUCAGCCAUUCCUUCGUCAAUACGCGGACUACAUGCGCGGACUGCGGGGCGGUCAAAGGCUAUUGGCAGAGUGGGCAAAGAAAUCUGUGAAAUUUGCAUCGAUAAUUACAGACAUACAACAAAGCACGGAGUGUGAUAACCUGACACUGGAGACUCACAUGCUGGAGCCCAUACAACGUCUGCCCCGGUACCAGCUGCUGCUGCAGAGAUAUUUGACUUAUCUGCGCGAGGACUCCCCUGACAUGGAGGACGCUACAGUGGCACUCAACAUGAUAAAACGGGUGGCGGAGUAUGCAGACGACGUGUUGCUGAAAACGGACAAUCUUCAGAGCACGCUUAAAGCAUUUCAGAAGAUACACGGUGAACUCACGGACAGCACGAGGAAACGCGUGUUGGUGAAAGAGGGCAGGAUCAGCUACAUCGAUGGAAUCACGGAGCAGUCACACACCAGCUAUCUCUUCCUGUUUACAGAUGUACUUCUUAUGUGUGAUACCACAAAGCAAGGCAAAUUUACACUUCGUGAAGAGUUGAUGAUAAAUGAUAUUCAGGUGCGACAAGGACAAGGAGACAAUAGACAGCUAUUUGUCAUCCUGAGCAAAGAUAACGCCUUCCAGUUCAAUGAAAGGGACCAAGACGGCAAGAGGGUGUGCUGGGGUCAGGAAAUUCAGAAGUUGGUGGACAAGGCAAUGCAGAGGAGGGCAGAGGUGGCACUUACUACUUCAGUGACAAAUCGAUGCCCAACAUAUUCCUUGGCAAGUGGUCUCCCCGGGAAAUGAGUGAGGACGUCACGGACAGUUGUCUCAGCUGCCAUAUGUCAUUUGAGACCUGCGCUAGUCCCAAAAUUCACUGUGCCACAUGUGGAUUGGUGGUAUGUGAGCGGUGUACACGGAAACAGUGUGUGCCAUAUCAACAACACGCAGACUGCAGCGUGUGUCUGGAGUGUGACAACAUCCUUACAGACAAAUCUUCCCAAGGAGUAGUCACAUAAACUGCACAACCUUUG